This 1943-nucleotide long non-coding RNA is filed under the name Mus musculus (house mouse). RNAcentral's name for it is "RNA imprinted and accumulated in nucleus". The stretch from base 1669 to 1742 matches the Rfam family "Small nucleolar RNA SNORD113/SNORD114 family". Lineage: Eukaryota; Metazoa; Chordata; Mammalia; Rodentia; Muridae. The record is from RNAcentral.
UUUUUUUUUUUUUUUUUUUAAAGAUUCAUCUAAUUUGGUGUAGUGGCAAGGAUCUUUAAAAAAUGGCAAUAUCCUGUAAAGGAGAUUUUGCCCCUGGAACAUUGUGUUGUGUCCUAUGGACUAAUGAGUUGGCCCGACGAGGGGUGGAAGGGAGAUGUGGAGGAAGGAAGGUUUGUCUGGACCGGUGAUGAGUUCCACAGGGUAUCUGAACCAGGAUAUUGUGAGAACUGUUUACUGUUGUUUUUAAUUUCCUACCACAUUGAUUUGAAGAUUUGCCUAUCAGUGUGGCCCUGGCUGAUAAGGAGGGCGUCACAAGUGGUAGAAGAUGCUGGCGUCAUUAUCUUCCAUCAGAUGUCUUUAGACAAGGGCAGAUUCACUUAGUGCAAGGUCCAGCAGAGCAGCAGUCAAAGCAGACAGAGAUGAGCUCUGGGUGCUGGUGAAGGUCUCUCUUCCCCGAGCUCCUUGGUUAAGGAAGAUGGAUGCCUUCAGUAAAGGGAGAGUUUGGUCCCUGGAGUAUUGUGUUGUGUCCUAUGGAAUAAUGAUUUAACACGAGAGGAGAGAUGGAGGAAGGCUUUUCUGGAUCAGUGAGGAGAACUUGGGGGAUCUGAACUAAGAUAUUGUAACUAAACCCAUGUAUGUCUCUGAGGUCUUUUACAACUCUCCCUUCUUUAGGGAACACUUUGUGGGGCUGUGUCCUAGGCUGAUAGACAUGUGGAUACAUUGGUUUCUUUAUUUCUAUACUAGCAGUGAGGUGGGUGGUGGCAGAGCCCAACAAGCUACAGUCAUUCCCAGCUAGGGUUUUACUUUUCUAAUGAAAUUAGCCUGUGGAUCUUUAAAAAGUAUGAAUAAAAAAAGAGGACAAAAUGGUCAAUUAUUACAAAGGAGUAUAAUGAGACAAAGGUUGUUGUUAAAUCUACUCAACAGUUGGGGCUUAAGAACCAUUUUGUUUAGGGGUACAUGGUCAUUAAGUGUUUGUCCUAUGUUGGUAACUGGUCUCCCAUAGUUGUUCCUAGUUCACUUCAACCCCACGAUCCUAAGCACACCUGUACCUGCCCUGGAAUCCCUCAGCCAUGUUUGUCCCACAGAGCAUCACUAUCAAACAGUUCACUGUGGACUCCUCGUAGCAGAAGUACAGUAGGGGACAGCAAGUGUCAGCUCCAUCAGGACCCCUGAUUUAAUUAUUUACUGUGGAACCAUUGUCCUGAGUCAGGAGGAUAGAUGAGGAAAGAAUGAGAGCGUGGCUGGCAUCGCUUCAUGAUUACAUUCUGGGAAAGAUCUUGCCUGUUAACCUCUAGAGAAGGAGGGACGAUACAGACAAUGGACUCACAAUUGCUGAUGUAUAGGUUCUAAUGUUUUCUAUUGUGGACACGGGACACCCAGACUGAGAACCAAUGGCUCCAGUCUGAUUUAAACAUGGGUCCGUGCUCACACACUCAAUACCUACCCUCUGUGCUCACAAGUCCUGUGUGAGUAAGACUCCAAAUUAUUCUGUCUUGUUUUACUCAAUGGUAUGCUCUACCUUAUUAUAGAGUAUACCAUGUAUUGAGACAAGAAUGCCAGUCAUUCUGAGAAACAAAAUGCAACCAUUAGUUGUCAUUUUAAUUAGUGACGAAUAGUUGUGUCAAUCAUCAAACAUGCUUGUAUAAUUGGAUGAGAAGAGGUGUAACACGGGCCAAUGAUGACGAGGUUUCGGGAUUAUAAGUCACGGACGAUGACUACGUCACUAGAGGUCUGAGGUCCAUAGCAGAAGAUGCCUCAUGUGACCCUCUCAUGCAGGGGUUGCAUGUCAGGCAUGUGCAUACAGUAGAUAUUAGCCAUGCACUCUCACCAUUUCAUAGUAGAUCACAGAAUCAAGAUACAAAUCUCCAUGCACGGAAAGGAUUUAAGGCAUUGAUCAAUCCUGAACAUAAAUAUUUGGCCAUCAAUGAUAUUUACGCACACAC